AAAAAGCCCUAUACCCGUUAAGGCAUGAUGGCCUGUACCCGAAACCGACACAGGUGGGGUGGUAGAGAAUACCGAGGGGCGCGAGGUAACUCUCUCUAAGGAACUCGGCAAAAUGGCCCCGUAACUUCGGGAGAAGGGGUGCCACCGCGAGGUGGUCGCAGUGAAGAGGCCCAGGCGACUGUUUACCAAAAACACAGGUCUCCGCUAAGUCGCAAGACGAUGUAUGGGGGCUGACGCCUGCCCAGUGCCGGAAGGUUAAGGAAGCUGGUCAGCGCAAGCGAAGCUGGCGACUGAAGCCCCGGUGAACGGCGGCCGUAACGAUAACGGUCCUAAGGUAGCGAAAUUCCUUGUCGGGUAAGUUCCGACCCGCACGAAAGGCGUAACGAUCUGGGCGCUGUCUCGGAGAGAGGCUCGGCGAAAUAGAAUUGUCUGUGAAGAUGCGGACUACGUGCACCCGGACAGAAAGACCCUAUGAAGCUUUACUGUAGCUUGGUAUUGUGCUCGGGCUCGGAAUGCGCAGGAUAGGUGGGAGGCUUUGAUCCAUUGCUUGCGGGUGAUGGUGAGCCACUGGUGAGAUACCACUCUUUCCGAGCUAGAGUUCUAACAGCAACCCGUUAUCCGGGUGCUGGACAGUAUCAGGUGGGCAGUUUGACUGGGGCGGUCGCCUCCUAAAAGGUAACGGAGGCGCGCAAAGGUCUGCUCAGGCUGGUUGGAAAUCAGCCGACGAGUGUAAAAGCAGAAGCAGGCUUGACUGUGAGACCUACAAGUCGAACAGGGAGGAAACUCGGCUUUAGUGAUCCGACGGUUCUGCGUGGAAGGGCCGUCGCUCAACGGAUAAAAGUUACUCUAAGGAUAACAGGCUGAUCUCCCCCAAGAGUUCACAUCGACGGGGAGGUUUGGCACCUCGAUGUCGGCUCAUCGCAACCUGGGGCUGAAGUCGGUCCCAAGGGUUGGGCUGUUCGCCCAUUAAAGCGGUACGCGAGCUGGGUUCAGAACGUCGUGAGACAGUUCGGUCCAUAUCCGGUGCACGCGCAGGAAUAUUGAGAGGAUUUCUCCCUAGUACGAGAGGACCGGGAGGAACGCACCUCUGGUGUGCCAGUUAUCGUGCCAACGGUAAACGCUGGGUAGCCAUGUGCGGAGUGGAUAACCGCUGAAAGCAUCUAAGUGGGAAGCCCACCUCAAGAUGAGUAUUCCCAUGGCAUAAGCCAGUAAGGUCACGGGAAGAACACCCGUUGAUAGGCUCUACGUGGAAGCGCAGUAAUGUGUGAAGCGGAGGAGUACUAAUAGACCGAGGGCUUGACC
Molecule: ribosomal RNA, 1302 nt
Filed under: metagenome
Description: bacterial LSU rRNA
Rfam family: Bacterial large subunit ribosomal RNA
Source: RNAcentral